This 634-nucleotide transfer RNA is filed under the name Kalymmatonema arcangelii THH60. RNAcentral describes it as "16S-23S ribosomal RNA intergenic spacer". The stretch from base 295 to 367 matches the Rfam family "tRNA". The record is from RNAcentral. Lineage: Bacteria; Bacillati; Cyanobacteriota; Cyanophyceae; Nostocales; Scytonemataceae.
UUUAGGGAGACCCGAAUCAGUUCAAAACUCAAGAUUCUUUUCAUAGAAUUUUGAAUUGAUAAUAUUGAAUUGGUUUUAUCCCGAGGUCGGUCGCAAUCUUAAGGAAAGCUUUCAAACUAUAAACAGGGUUCGAUAAUGGGCUAUUAGCUCAGGUGGUUAGAGCGCACCCCUGAUAAGGGUGAGGUCCCUGGUUCGAGUCCAGGAUGGCCCACCUGAAGACAGUGAACAGUCAACAGCGAACAGUGAACAGUAAAAAACUGGUAGCUGGUAACUGGGAACUGAAAACUGACUUAGGGGGGUUUAGCUCAGUUGGUAGAGCGCCUGCUUUGCAAGCAGGAUGUCAGCGGUUCGAGUCCGCUAACCUCCACCUACUCCAACUGAAGAAGAAUUGCCACAAAAAAAGUAAGAAAACACUUUGGUGUGGCGAAACGAGUAUGAUAGAAUGAGAAAAUGUGGAUGAAUUCAGCAACAUGACAUUGGUCAGACUGCUGGAAGUAAUCCAGCCAGAACCUUGAAAACUGCAUAGUAACGCGAAGCAGGUAGACACAGACAUUGUAGGAAAUCAUGACAUGAGUGCAUGACAUGAAAUCAGAAAUGAAAGUGUUUGCUGAAAAGAUAUCACCAAUUGUGAAGU